CGAAGGGAUGCAGCAGCAAUUCAUGUUUUGGAGUAUUAUCAAGGUUCAAAACAUGAUGCGCUGCAACACCCCUUCGCGGGGAA
This 83-nucleotide microRNA precursor is filed under the name Neotoma lepida (desert woodrat). RNAcentral describes it as "mir-322 microRNA precursor family". It matches the Rfam family "mir-322 microRNA precursor family". Lineage: Eukaryota; Metazoa; Chordata; Mammalia; Rodentia; Cricetidae. The record is from Rfam by way of RNAcentral.